AAUACGCUCCGGGAUUCAAAAAUUCCUAGGAAGGAAGAGACUAGGGAGGCGAGGCCCGUCGGAUGCGCAAGCCGACUUUCACUGAGGGUUUCUGGCGCAGCGAGUGGAAGGACCUGCUCGGCGGGAACCGUUCUGUCCCUCCCAGGCGACGUCCGAUGGGUGUGUCGGGCAGGCGUUGAUAUUGGACGGGCUGCGGCCCGGACAGCGGCUUAGGAGUCGGGAGCCAGGAGCCAGGAGCCAGGAGCCAGGAGCCCGGAAGGGAACCGGGAGCCAAGCAGGGUGCGAGCAUGGCCGCCCCAGGCCCACCGCCCCCCACCAGCCACGCGCCACCCGACGUGCCCUCGGGGCUCGCGCUGUUCCUCACCAUCCCCUUCGCCUUCUUCCUGCCGGAGCUGGUGUUUGGGUUCUGGGUCUGGGUCCUGGUGGCCGCCACCCACGUGGCAAACCCGCUGCUGCAAGGAUGGGUGUUGUACGUCUCGCUGACCUCGUUCCUCAUCUCCCUCAUGUUCCUGUUGUCUUACUUGUUUGGAUUUUACAAGAGAUACGAGUCCUGGAGAGUCCUGUGGAGCAACAUCGAAGGAAAUGCCAGCAGGAAAAGGUCACCCCAAUCUCGAGGUCUUGUCACAAUCACUGGCCUGUACCACGGGACCACCGGCAUCCUGUACAUGAGCGCGGCUGUCCUGCAGGCCCACGCCACCAUCGUCUCUGAGAGCGAGGACCUGGGCAACUACAUGACAAACACCGCGGCCACGCCCUCCGGUCCAGUUUAAGAACCCAUUGUGGCCCUCGAGUCAAAAAGUUUGCCCACCCCUGCCUUAGGCUCAACAGACCAGACUCCAGGCCCCUGUGCCUCCCUUCCUGGUCUCUGCACUGCGCCUCCUUCCUCCCUGUGUGGGAAUGGCGCCCUCACGUGGCAGCAAGCUCACAGCUGACAGAUUCCUCCUCUGACACCUUUAUCACCUCACCUGGGAAACUUCCAAGACAGGACUCCAGCUGGGUCUCAGUCACCUUGGCAUCACUGUGGCCAGAAACGUGGAGUCCGUGUCCCUGGGAGCUCCCACAGAGAUCAGUUUUUUGCCUUCAUCACCACCCUACUCUACGUGCUCCACGCCUUCAGCAUCUACUACCACUGAGGGCAGGAGUCCUGCCCGGCGCGAAAUGCUCCUGUAACGCGUGGACCAUGGCUCCCAAAGGUCGCUUCAGCAUUCGCCAUCUGGAUGACACACAGACCAACAACACGUCAGUGGGACUAACAGGCCGUCUUUUCAGACGGGAGGAUGAAAUCACACUCCGCAUAGCCUCCUGGACAACGCUGGGCAGGAAGAGGGUCCUGUGAACAGGCUGUGUUGUCUUUUGCCUCGGAAAGUAACUGGCUCCACAAAACGAGCUUCCAAAGCCCUCAGCGCUGAGAAUCCCGAUCCACCAGCGUCACCUGGUGGAUCCACCUGGCUGGGGACCUGUCUCAGCAAUUAGGGUCCCCAGGCAGGUGUGUGGGAACGUGCAGUCUUAGUUUCUUAAAGCUGAAAUGGUGCUAGCAAAGCCUCCACAUUACAUCUCCGCUUAGAUGCAGACCCUCUCCCGCCCUGUGGUUCUGCUCUGAUCGGCAGCAAAGACCAGCCGCACUGCCACUCCAUUACAUCCCCCUUCCUUCCCUCCCCAGCUUCAGGAUCCAAUUUAGAGGCUAGAUUUGCAGGAAAAGAAGUGAGUGACUCUACAAAAUUGUUAUACGGUAAGAGCUGGGGGUGGGGGUGGGGGUGGGCUGCAGGACCCCACCCAACAAGAACUAGAAGCCACCUUGCCCCCCACAAAAGACCUUCAAGGAAGGAAGCAGGAUGUUACGUACAAGGACUCUCCCCUGGGCUCCUCUCACGCUCUGCGGGGCAUUUAAGGAGGCCGGGAAAGGACCCCAGCCCAGGGACGUGCUCUUUCGUGGGUGCCCACCCCCCUCAAGUGCCCGCUGUGGUGCCAGCAGAGAGGAGCCCGGGCCACUCCGCUGCCUCCUGCAGCGCGGGGCUCACACGGCUGGACACAUGGCAUCCGACUUUGGGACCAUUCUCAACGAGAAGGCUGGCGUUGUGCACACAGAAACACAAAAAGAGGUGCUUGGUUUCAAAGUAAAGGUUUUCCCUGAGAAACACGGCUGUGCAUCUGGGAUUUCUCCGCACCGUCCUCGGCUCCCCGGUGGGUCUCCUGGCCUCUCGGCUCGGGCAUCGCGGCUCCGGCAUCGCCCAUAACCGCACACACCUGGGACUCCUCUUAGCUGAUUUAAGGGCGCACAGUUCCUAUCUUCUGCUCCUGGGAGAAGGGGGACAGGGAGUCACCGAAGAGAAACCGGCCUCCCUGUCGUUGACUGCUGGCUUCCCAAUUGCCCCGCUGUCUCGAAAAGCCCCCAUUUAUCUCUCUUUCUUGCCUGGCAGCUGCCUGGGAUGAGCACUGUUCAAUAUUUACCGAGUAGCCACGUCCAAAUAAAAGGUGUUUUACAGUAAAA
Molecule: RNA transcript, 2488 nt
Organism: Myotis myotis
Lineage: Eukaryota; Metazoa; Chordata; Mammalia; Chiroptera; Vespertilionidae
Gene: MALL
Gene name: mal, T cell differentiation protein like
Exons: 6
Source: RefSeq, a predicted model, not a curated record